ACGCUAGCGGGAUGCCUUACACAUGCAAGUCGAACGGAGUGGCGAACGGGUGAGUAAUGUAUCGGAGCGUGCCCAGUAGCGGGGGAUAACUACGCGAAAGCGUAGCUAAUACCGCAUACUAUUGGAGCGGCCGAUAUCGGAUUAGCUAGUUGGUGGGGUAACGGCUCACCAAGGCGACGAUCCGUAGCUGGUUUGAGAGGACGACCAGCCACACUGGGACUGAGACACGGCCCAGACUCCUACGGGAGGCAGCAGUGGGGAAUUUUGGACAAUGGGGGAAACCCUGAUCCAGCCAUCCCGCGUGUGCGAUGAAGGCCUUCGGGUUGUAAAGCACUUUUGGCAGGAAAGCGGUACCUGCAGAAUAAGCACCGGCUAACUACGUGCCAGCAGCCGCGGUAAUACGUAGGGUGCAAGCGUUAAUCGGAAUUACUGGGCGUAAAGCGUGCGCAGGCGGUUCGGAAAGAAAGAUGUGAAAUCCCAGAGCUUAACUUUGGAACUGCAUUUUUAACUACCGAGCUAGAGUGUGUCAGAGGGAGGUGGAAUUCCGCGUGUAGCAGUGAAAUGCGUAGAUAUGC
RNAcentral lists this ribosomal RNA (575 nucleotides) under uncultured bacterium. RNAcentral's name for it is "bacterial SSU rRNA". It matches the Rfam family "Bacterial small subunit ribosomal RNA", at positions 33 to 699 of the family's 1533-position model. The record is from RNAcentral.